RNAcentral lists this ribosomal RNA (274 nucleotides) under uncultured bacterium. Its description in RNAcentral is "partial 16S ribosomal RNA". It matches the Rfam family "Bacterial small subunit ribosomal RNA", at positions 523 to 796 of the family's 1533-position model. The record is from RNAcentral.
AUACGGAGGGUGCAAGCGUUAAUGGGAAUUACUGGGCGUAAAGCGCGCGUAGGCGGAUAUUUAAGUCUCAUGUGAAAGCCCUGGGCUCAACCUGGGAACUGCAUGGGAUACUGGGUAUCUAGAAUACAGUAGAGGGUAGUGGAAUUUCAGGUGUAGCGGUGAAAUGCGUAGAGAUCUGAAGGAACAUCAGUGGCGAAGGCGACUACCUGGACUGAUAUUGACGCUGAGGUGCGAAAGCGUGGGGAGCAAACGGGAUUAGAAACCCUUGUAGUCC